CCACAUUUUAUGCGAAACAAAGUUGAUUAUUGUAUUAUAUUAAUAACGUUUUAAACUUAUUUAGUUUUGGGUGAUAAUUGCGCUGAUAACACAGAGUGUGCAGGAGUGACAAACGCUAACUGUGACUCAACUUGUAAAUGUGAGGGACAAUACAAAGAAGAUACUGGCAGCUGCAUUUCAAAGGCUUUGGGUGAUACUUGCGCUGGUGACUCGGAUUGUACAGGAGUGACAGGCGCUACUUGUAACACAAAUUGUGUAUGUGAGGGGCAAUACAAGCAAGAUGGAACUGAUUGUGUUUCUAAAGUUUUGGGUGAUACUUGCGCCGCUGACU
Ruditapes philippinarum (Manila clam) is the source of this 331-nucleotide long non-coding RNA. RefSeq lists it as uncharacterized. The transcript is spliced from 3 exons. The record is from RefSeq and is a predicted model, not a curated record. NCBI's taxonomy places the organism in Eukaryota, Metazoa, Mollusca, Bivalvia, Venerida, Veneridae.